Coturnix japonica (Japanese quail) is the source of this 424-nucleotide non-coding RNA. The record is from RefSeq and is a predicted model, not a curated record. NCBI's taxonomy places the organism in Eukaryota, Metazoa, Chordata, Aves, Galliformes, Phasianidae.
CCCAGUUGAGUAUCAUGCCUCGAAUGGUGCCAGAGACGGAACAAAAGGUUUUCUGAUCACAGCCGGAGAAGUUACUGUCAAAGAAAUUCUAACAGCUGAGAAGAUCGAGUGGAGAUUCUUCAAACACUGAAGCUACAUCAGAAAAUUCCAUGGAUCCAAACGCAUCUGGCACAUGGCUGCAGUCUGGCACAUCUUCAUAUGUCAGAGCCUUUUCAGACUGAAAAGAAAUGUUCCACCGAGAUUCUUUUGCAGAAUUAGAAGGAAGAUUUCAUCAGAAGAUUUCACCACUAAAGUCUAAAUAAGAUUGGUUUGCAAGUUCCAAACUAUGGCUAACAGCUAAUGGAAGUCCACAGGCCAGCAGCAACAACUUUUAUAUUAUGUUCUUAAUAUUCUAAUUGUUGAUAUGACGUUCAUAUAAAGAGCA